This is a long non-coding RNA of Macaca fascicularis (crab-eating macaque), 2173 nucleotides long. NCBI's taxonomy places the organism in Eukaryota, Metazoa, Chordata, Mammalia, Primates, Cercopithecidae. The record is from Ensembl.
CAGUUCACACCUGCUGGGGGCAGGGACUGUGACGAGGUGAGGGUCACACAGUUCACACCUGCUGCACCUGCUGGGGGCAGGGACUGUGACGAGGUGAGGGUCACACAGUUCACACCUGCUGCACCUGCUGGGGGCAGGGACUGUGACGAGGUGAGGUCACACAGUUCACACCUGCUGGGGGCAGGGACUGUGACGAGGUGAGGGUCACACAGUUCACACCUGCUGCACCUGCUGGGGGCAGGGACUGUGACGAGGUGAGGUCACACAGUUCACACCUGCUGGGGGCAGGGACUGUGACGAGGUGAGGGUCACACAGUUCACACCUGCUGCACCUGCUGGGGGCAGGGACUGUGAUGAGGUGAGGGUCACACAGUUCACACCUGCUGCACCUGCUGGGGGCAGGGACUGUGAUGCGGUGAGGGUCACACAGUUCACACCUGCUGCACCUGCUGGGGGCAGGGACUGUGAUGCGGUGAGGUCACACAGUUCACACCUGGUGCACCUGCUGGGGGCCCCCACGCCUGUCCUGGGCUGGAUGAGCCCUCACCCCUGCAGGGUGUUGUAGGCUAUAAUGCUCUCUACAUAUGCCACCCACCAGAUCCUUGCCAGCCUUGGAAGUGGGUUUCUGUCUACCUGUUUUAUGGAAACAGUCCCUGGGGCUCAGAGGGGCCAGGUGACUGUCCCUAGGUCACACAGGGGAUAGCUGGCGGAGCAGGAAUCCCACCUGUUCAUCCGUCUGACACUGGGACCUGUGUCCCCUCUGACUGUCUCAUCCGUUUCCUCAGCCCCCUUGCUGGACACAGCUAUUUUGGGGCAGACGGCACCCGUCCCACUGCCGGCCUGAGGGUGGGGUGGAGGCCCUCAGCUCCCAGCACCACCCAUCAGUGGAGAAAGGCCCUGGGCCAUGGGGAUGGUUGCCCAAGCCGGCGGGAAGCAGUAACUGGCAGGCAGGGACACCCACCACGGGCAGGGAGACAGUGUAUGGACCCCCAGGCAGGAGUCAGCCUGGCAGGGUGGAGGCAGAGGCAGGGGUACGGCAGACGGGCCUUCCCUCGAGCCUCACUGGCCCAGGUGCUGGUCAGACAGCCCUGCCCAUCCCCCAAGACCGCCCCGGUCCUGGAACCUUCCCCGCACAGUGCAGCUGAGCCCUCAGGGUAGCAGCGCUGGGCCGUAGCGGCAGGCGUCCAGGUUAGCAGCUUGACUGUGAGGUGGGACGAGGUCUUGGGAGACUGGCUGCACAGGUGCCCAGUGCAGGGCAAGGUGGGGCCUCACACGGCUGGGCCCCAGUGGCGUCUGUGGACGCUGCCGCCAGGGCAGGCCAGAGAGAGCCACCUGCCCUGCCCAUGAGGGGAGUGGGGAGCGCCCAGAACCCGGGGGCUGCCUCGUUCUCCCCACCUCCAUACCACAUUCAAGGGCAUAGGACAGAGGGGUCACACUUCCACCAGACCCCUGGCCGGGAGGCCACAGAGAAGAAGGGGAGAGCCCAGAGAGCGGGGAACACGCAGCUCCCUGACUCUGGGAAACAGGCUAGACGGGGACUGCGGCCCCGGGACCUGGCUGGUGGUCGGUGACCUAAAGCAUGCAGUAGGCACUCCAUCAGUGCGUGUUCUCUGGCAUGCCGCCUGUUUCCUGGAGGCCAGAGGUCGGGUCACAGCACAGGGUGUUCUGGUGAGGCCUGGGCACCAGGCUUGCCAGCGGGGCCGCGGUGGUGGCAUCCAGGGAGGAGUGCUUAGCAGGAGCACUGGCAGAUCCAGAAAAGCUGAGCUCAGCAUUUAGGCCCAAACCACCGGGUGGGGGAUGGGGGACUGCAGCCAUGGGGUGCCUCUCCCUUUCUGGCUGUGGCCCUGGGAAACUCACAGCCUCUCAGGGGCUCAGUCAGCCCCAUUGUUAAGAGGGACAAUGGGGCCGGGCACAGUGGCUCAUGCCUGUAAUCCCAGCACUUUGGGAGGCUGAGGCAGGUGGAUCACCUGAAGUCAGGAGUUCAAGACCAACCGGGCCAACGUGGCAAAAACCCAUCUCUGCUAAAAAUACAAAAACUAGCCAGGUGUCGUGGCACGGGCUUGUAGUCCCAGCUACUCAGAAGGCUGAGGCAGGAGAAUCGCUUGAGCCCGGGAGGCAGAGGUUGCAGUGACCAAGAUCACGCCACUGCACUCCAGCCUGGGCGACAGAGUAA